This 24-nucleotide non-coding RNA is filed under the name Arabidopsis thaliana (thale cress). The record is from RNAcentral. Lineage: Eukaryota; Viridiplantae; Streptophyta; Magnoliopsida; Brassicales; Brassicaceae.
AAGCCAUGUUAUUUUGUGAGAGCA